UCUCCAUGGGUUUUUACGUAUUAAAAACAAAUUUUUCAUACUGCAGGUUCAUAUGUUUCAGUACAGAUCUUGUUCUGGAGAUGCUCUUUCUGAGUGGCACAAAGGGAUCGAGUUGCUGCUCUCGGGAGUGACACUAGAAGGACCGCCCUGGGGAGGGCAGGAGGCUAAGGCUUCAUCUGUGAGUGUGUGUAAACAUACACUGUGAAAAAGAUGGUUCAUGUAGGCGCUAAUGUCACUCCAUCCAUAUCAUUCACAGAGAGGAGUCUUUUUAUUGUACACAAAUAUAAAAAUAUAUCAAAGAAAAAGCGCUGUGAGGUACAAACACAUAUAUCAAAGCCAUUUGAUGAAGCAGACCUUUUGCCAGUUACAUGUGUGCUUUCAAAACAUACCACUGGCUGACUUGCAUACACACUCACACGCAAGCACACAGUGGCUUUCAAAAGUAUUCAACCCCCCCUUGGACUUUUGCAGAUUUUAUUGUGUGACAACAUGAAAUCAAAAGGAUAUCAUUUAAUAAUGUUUUGGCCACUGCACAAUGUAAAUUAAAAUGUACAUUAAAAAAUAUAUAAAAAUAAUUACAAAUAUAACACAAAAUAAUUGAUUGCAAUAAGUAUAUCACCCCCUUUUGUCAAUUUUUGGUAGAGGCACCUUUAGGCAGCAAUUACAUGAGUGUAGUGUUUACCAGCUUUGUUCAUCUGGACACAGUGAUUUUUGCCCAUUCUAUUUAUAUAAUUUCUCAAGCUCCACGAAGUUGGAUGGGGAUCUUUGCUGAAUUUUCAACUCUAUCCACAUUCAUUGAGUUGAGGUCCAUGCCUUGACAGUGCCUCUCAAGGAAUGCCAAGGACUUGAAGCCACUCCAACAUGCUUUGUCGUGCUGAAAUAUGAGUUCCCAUGCACUCUAAUCUGAGUUCCCAUGCACUCUGGUUCAGGUUUUCUUCAAGAACCUCAAUGAUAAUCAUCCCCACAACAUGAGGCUGCCACCACCAUGCUUCUCAGAGGGAUAGUGUUCUCAGGAUGAUGUGCGUUAUUAGGCUUGUGCACAACAAGGUGCUUUGCAUUGAGGCCAAAAAGCUAUAUUUUGGUUUCAUAAAACUACAUAAUCUUCCACAUUCGCUUCCAUCUGGCAAACUCUAGCCACGUUUUUUUUUCAACAUCGGCUUUCUUUUUUCCACUCCUCGAUGAAGAUCACUUUAAAUAUUCAAUGCCUUUGAAAUUUACUUAUAUCCUACCCCUGAUUGGUGCUUUUGAAGAAUCUUAUUUCUGGAUUUGUUUCUUAGGUUUUUUGUUAGGAAUUGUACCAACCUCCUGUGGUAGCUCCCAGAGACAGGUGUGUUAAAUGUGACAUUAUGUGAAACAACUUAAUUGCACACAGGUGGAAUCCAUUCAACUAAUUACCGGUCCAUCAGGUGUCAUAGAAAAUGAGGUGAAUACUUCUGCAAUCAAGUCAUUUUGAUUGAUUUGUAAUUAAUUUAGAAAAUGUGCUAUUUUUUUUCGUUUACAUUAUUGACCUUUUGUGUGUUGGUCAUUGGCAAAAAUCCCUCAUUAAAUCCAUUUUCAUUUCAUUUUGUUCCACUAUAAAAUAUGGAAAAGUCCAAGGGGGUGAAUACUUUUGAGAGGCACAAUAUAAAUAUGCGUAUGUUUGUAUGUAUGUGUAUAUAUAUACACCCACACAUUAAAAUUGAUUGAUAGAUAGAUACAUACAUACAAUACAAACACAAAAAAAAACUGCUGUAAUUCAGCAUCACUGGGCAGAUUAAGACGGGUCUGUAAUAUUUCAAUAGUGAACUGGUUUGUUAAAGUUGUACGGACCUGAGAUGGAUGACUUAACACUAGUUAUUAGAUGCUCAGUAAGUUUGAUUAAACUUGCCCUGUGUAUGCGUGUUUGUUUCUGUGCUUGCCGGUAAAAGAUGUGACACUGCUCUGUGCCAAAACGUGCUUAUAUACUAAAGGUCCACCUGGUUAAACUGCCUUUGGUAAUUGUAAAGGUCUAAUUAUGUGUUAUUGUAUAAUUGUGCCUUGUUGAAGUGGAAACAUAUUUAUCAUUACAUUGGCUAAAUAACCUUGUUUUAUUUUAUUUGAAGUUCUACCUGGAUUUAUAUUCAAUUAAUAUGCUUACUGUAUGUAUGUGUGAUUGGAUGUAUGUGUGCAUAUUUGUGCAUGUGUAUGAGUAUCAGUGGAACUUAAAAUGCUUUAACAUUUGCUUACAUGUCAUUGCUACCUCAGUCAUGUGCUGCAAAAGAAGAUCAACUACAUUCUUGCCUUGGGAAAUGCAUGAUAAUUUGGCAAAAAAUAAUUUAAGUCAAUGGAACAUAGUGAAAAGAACUAUUGUUUUUUACUAAGUGAUCUAGUGGUACUCAACAAAUAUUUACAUUAUUGUUGUCAGCUGAAAC
Long non-coding RNA from Esox lucius (northern pike), 2390 nucleotides. The record is from Ensembl. Lineage: Eukaryota; Metazoa; Chordata; Actinopteri; Esociformes; Esocidae.